Molecule: non-coding RNA, 2108 nt
Organism: Zootoca vivipara (common lizard)
Lineage: Eukaryota; Metazoa; Chordata; Lepidosauria; Squamata; Lacertidae
Source: RefSeq, a predicted model, not a curated record
GGAGGAGCUGCUGCCUUCGCCUUAAAGAGCGGGAAGCGCGGCAUUUUAAUUUCACAAGAAGCUAUAAGUUAGGGAAUGUAAUAAUUAUAAGUGAUUAUUUAAGUUGCUUUUAUAAUUGCACCGUUUUGAUAUCUUAAUAAAUGAAAGAAACGGCGGAAGGUGCAGUGAUGAGACUUCUAUUGAAUUUCCGCUCGUUUCGUGAAUUUCAACGUUGACGGAACGCCGUUGUUGCAGUUAGUCCCGCAGAAAACUAUCCAAAAGAUUAUAAAAUCAAUUCUAGGGAGAGGGAGAGUUCCUGUACCUUGAAAGUGUGUGGCGGCAGGCAGAAAUUCAACAGGUACAGCAAGUCGGUGUGUUUUGGAGGACAGCAGCCGUCAUGGCUUGCAAUUUGUUUUUGAAGUCUGGAAAGAAAGUUAGAAAGGCUUGAGAACGUCAUUAGAUGCUGCUGAAGAGGGCAUUUGAUCCACAGAUGAACAUGUCCAGUUUGGAAAUGCAAGUAGCAGGUAUUCUGCAUUUGCUGCGUCAUGCUGCUAGUUGUGUAUCAUACCUGGGGCUUGAGCAAGGAUGAGGGGCUGAAUUCUGGAAGUGGUGAGGAUAAGACUUCUGCACAUCAUGGACACUGGAGCUCCACAAGAGUCAACCAGUUCUAGUACGCUUGAAAGUUCAUGGCAUGCUGUUAGAAUGGCCAUAUAAUCCUGAAAUGGUAGCAGGUAUUCUGCAUUUACUGCGUCAUGCUGCUAGUUGUGUAUCAUAUCUGGGGCCUGAGCAAGGAUGAGGAGCUGAAUUCUGGAAGUGGUGAGGAUAAGACUUCUGCACAUCAUGGACACUGCAGCUCCACAAGAGUCAACCAGGCCAUUUUAAAUGGAAGAAGAAUAACCAGGAGAAAAAGAGCUGGAGAAGAUGCUGAGGAUGUAGCCUUGUGAAAGCACCAGCUAUUUAAGCGUAGGUCAGAAGAGAACAGAGUCCUACAGAUCAACAGAACUGGAAAAAUGGCUACCUUUGGUCUCCACCUUCAGUAGGCCUUCAAGACUACAAUUCCCAUCAUCCCUGGUUGCCGACCAUGCUGGCAGCAUUCGGGAGGCCCCAACAUCUACAGGGCAAUAUGAUGGCUUUCUCUGGCAGCAACAUGAUGGAAGAAAAGCUUGUUUGCUCUGAGCAAAGGUGGUUGAGGGAAACACUUAAAUGAGGACAAAGAUAAUGGUCCAAAACCAAAUUAACCGGUUGGGAUGAAGAGGUUUUCUGCAUAUGCAGAAUUAGACAACUCCCCUUGCAAGUAACAGUGGCUUCAGAUUUCAAGAACUCCUAUGCUACCGUAUAUACUGGCGUAUUAGACGGCUUUUGAACCCAGGAAAUUUUUUUCAAAAGUUGGGGGCCCGUCUUAUACGCCGGGUCCAAGAAUCUGCAGUCACCGCAUACGGUGGGGGGAGCUCAAAAACGGCCGCAUCCCCACUGUAUGCAGUGACCAUAUGAACGCAAAGAAGCGCGCUCGGGAGGGGGCUGCUCCCCGCCAGGGAGAAUGGCUCCCUCAUGGCUUUGUGACCUGGAUCAGCGCAGAGAUACAGUUUUGUGUAUUUCAUUGGUGUCAAGCUGCUGCCUCUUCUCUUUUUGUCAGCGCAAAGCAAAGGGAUCUCUCCGUCUCUCUCUCUCCGCUCUCUCUUUCACUGCUGCUCAGCGUCUUUCGCUGGCUGUGUGAGCCUCCGAUGUCUCUGCCCCUCUAUCGCUAUCCUCUCUAUGGUUUCUUUCUCCCCUUUUGCUGCCUCCCUCUCCCUCUCCCUGGCUUCUAUUCCCCUUUUGCUCACUGAGCCAGCCUCGUUGUCUCUCUCUCCGCUCUCUCUUUCACUGCUGCUCAGCGUCUUUCGCUGGCUGUGUGAGCCUCCGAUGUCUCUGCCCCUCUAUCGCUAUCCUCUCUAUGGUUUCUUUUGCUCGAUGUCUCUGCCUCCCUCUCCCUCUCCCCCUCCCUCCUUUUGAUCGAUGUCUCUGCUUCUCUAUCUCUCCUUUCGCCGGCUUCUUUCCCCCUCUCAAUAACUAAGCAAGCAAGCAAGCAAACAAACCACCAUUUCCCCGGCUGCAGACUUGAGUGCUGGAGAAGACAGCCUCCCCUCCCCUCC